Long non-coding RNA from Dromaius novaehollandiae (emu), 1206 nucleotides. RefSeq lists it as uncharacterized. The record is from RefSeq and is a predicted model, not a curated record. The transcript is spliced from 3 exons. NCBI's taxonomy places the organism in Eukaryota, Metazoa, Chordata, Aves, Casuariiformes, Dromaiidae.
GGACAGCUCAGCCCGGCGGGGGGUCCUGAAGUGAUGUCGCCAUCGCAUCACAAGCCCUGCUCUUUGUGGAGGCGGGGCUGGGGCAGCCUCCGGUGUCACUUUGCCUGUGAGCCAGCGAGCGAGUGAGCAGGUGAAGAGUGUGGCAUUGAGCGGGGACGAAGCAGCAAGGCGGCCGGGUAAGAGCUGCCUCCUUUGGUCUCCCCCCAGGCUCUCCUCCUCUCGGGGCCAUCGGCCUGGCUCUGUCGGCCUCCUCCGCACCCCAAAACCCCUGCAGGCGCCAUCCUUGGGCAGCCAGCUGGGUUGCAGCCUGCGACUGGACGCCCCCUCCCUCCACAUGUCCCCUUCCAAGUGCCACAAUCGCGGAAACAGCCCCUCAGCAAGGCCCAGCAAUGUCCGGCAACGAUUGUGCGCGCUUGGUGCUGAGGACAGGGUGUCCCAGGGGAACAGCGGUGAAAGCAGCCCCCGCAGCGGGCAACCAGGCAAGGCAGAGCGAGGGAGCCCACUGUGCCCUUCUUCUUCCAGAAGUGCUCUCUUGGCGGCCUUGGGCUCUUCUCCUGGGGGUGGAUUGACGCUGUCAAUCUAGCGGCGCGGAGCAGCGUGCAAAGGGACUGCACACGUGAGGCGCGCUCCCUUCGGCGGCAUGGAGCCUCAGAGCCUGAGGACCGCGUGCGGGCUCGUGGCACUGAGCUUUUUGCUCCUGUGCCUGCCCAGCUUCCCCUCGGCCUGCAACCUCCUCAUGCUGCUCCUGACGGUGGCCUCCACGGCUGUCCUGGAUAGCCUCGGGCCCCAGGGGCCUCUGGGCGCUGCUGGCAGCCUGGGCAACGGCAGCGGGGAGUUGCCCGGAGCUCAGCAGCCGUCUCCCAGAGCCUGGCGGCCUCUUUCGCGCCCUGCGCAGCUCAGGCGCCAACGCGCAGGGGAGCCCUCCUCUGCCCCACCUCUGCAACGCUGUACCACCCUGCAGCUCUGGCCCCCACCACUGCAGACGGCCUCCCCUCCCGCUGCACGCGGUGCCCGCUGGAGAGCGGUGCUGGGCUCCCUGCUUUGCCCAGGCUGCACUUGUGGGGGCUUCAGACGACUGCGCAAGGGCAUCCGCAGAUGUGCUGCCCUCCUGCGAAGGAGACGACGAGCGCCCAGCAGCCACCAGGCAAGGAGCAGCUACUUCGGGCAAGCACAGAGCUCAGCGCCUGCGCAGAGGCACUGGUAACA